This 650-nucleotide ribosomal RNA is filed under the name uncultured bacterium. RNAcentral describes it as "bacterial SSU rRNA". It matches the Rfam family "Bacterial small subunit ribosomal RNA", at positions 8 to 659 of the family's 1533-position model. The record is from RNAcentral.
AGAGUUUGAUCCUGGCUCAGAUUGAACGCUGGCGGUAUGCUUAACACAUGCAAGUCGGACGGUAGGCACUUCGGUGCCGAGAGUGGCGGACGGGUGAGUAACGCGUAGGAAUCUGCCCUGUAGUGGGGGACAACGUGGGGAAACCCACGCUAAUACCGCAUACGCCCUUCGGGGGAAAGCGGGGGACCGCAAGGCCUCGCGCUAUAGGAUGAGCCUGCGUUGGAUUAGCUAGUUGGUGGGGUAAAGGCCCACCAAGGCGACGAUCCAUAGCUGGUCUGAGAGGACGAUCAGCCACACUGGGACUGAGACACGGCCCAGACUCCUACGGGAGGCAGCAGUGGGGAAUAUUGGACAAUGGGCGCAAGCCUGAUCCAGCAAUACCGCGUGUGUGAAGAAGGCCUGAGGGUUGUAAAGCACUUUCAAUGGGGAGGAAAAAAGGCGGGCCCAAUACGCCCGCCCUUGACAUUACCCAUAGAAGAAGCACCGGCUAACUCCGUGCCAGCAGCCGCGGUAAUACGGAGGGUGCGAGCGUUAAUCGGAAUUACUGGGCGUAAAGCGUGCGUAGGCGGCCUUUUAAGUCAGAUGUGAAAGCCCUGGGCUCAACCUGGGAACGGCAUUUGAAACUGGGGGGCUAGAGUUGGGUAGAAGGG